Molecule: long non-coding RNA, 869 nt
Filed under: Eptatretus burgeri (inshore hagfish)
Lineage: Eukaryota; Metazoa; Chordata; Myxini; Myxiniformes; Myxinidae
Description: lncRNA (ENSEBUG00000017453.1)
Source: RNAcentral
CGAAAAACGAGAUGCUUUCGGAGGAUCUCAAAAAUGUUUCGAGCACUUUGUCAAAAGUGAAAUUGCAACUUCAGAUGGAGCUGCAACAGCAUGACGAAGAGAAAGAGAAGAAUGUUGAGAGCUGCCAACAAGUCGAGAUGCUUUCGCAACGUUUGAUUGCGAAAGAUGAACAAAUCAGUGAGAUUACUGCGAAAAAUGAGGUGUUUUCGAAGGAUCUCAAAAAUGUUUCGAUGAUGUUUUCAGAAAUGCAACUGCAGCUUCAGAUGCAGCUGCAAUGGCAUGAGGAAGAGCAAAAGAAGAACGUUGAUUGCUGCCAACAAGUGGAGAUGCUUUCGCAGCAUUUGAGUGCGAAAGAUAAACAAAUCAGUGAAAUUACUGCAGAAAAAAUGGUGCUUUCUGAGGAUCUCAAAAAUGGUUUGAAGAAGUUUUCAGACAUGCAACUGCAGCUUCAGGUGCAGCUACAAUGGCUUGAAGAACAGCAUAAGAAGAAGAACGUUGACUGUUGCCAACAAGUCGAGAUUCUUUCACAACGUUUGAUUGCGAAAGAUGAACAAAUUGGUGAGAUUACUGCGAAAAACGAGGUGCUUUCGGGGGAUCUCAAAAAUGUUUCGAGCAAGUUUUCAGAAAUGCAACUGCAGCUUCAGAUGCAGCUACAACGGUUUGAGGAAGAGCAAAAGAAGAACUUUGACUGCUGCCAACAAGUCGAGCUGCUAUCUCAGCAGUUGAAGGCAAAGGAGUGUCAAUGGAAACAGCAGCUGCAGGAACAGCGACAGAGGCAGGAGCAACAAGAUGAUGAGCACCAGAAAGAAGUAAGCAACCGUUAUGUCAUUUGGGACUUUUUUGAUACGAUCUAAUCUUUGAACCCAAAA